This is a long non-coding RNA of Hyla sarda, 440 nucleotides long. RefSeq lists it as uncharacterized. The record is from RefSeq and is a predicted model, not a curated record. Lineage: Eukaryota; Metazoa; Chordata; Amphibia; Anura; Hylidae. The transcript has 3 exons.
GGCGGUUACAACACAGUGGCAGUUGAAGGCAGGCACCCGCCUUUGCCAGUUAAGCGCUAAUUUUAAUACACAGAAAAAGACCUGUAACAGGCAAACGGCGCAGCGGAUCCGGGCAAGGAGUAAUCCAGAUAAAUAUUUUUUUGUUUAAAAAAGAACCAUCGGAGCUGCAACAGCAGGAAGAUCAGUGGCAGGCUAUGUUCACACGGUGGAAUGGCUGUCCAGAAAAUUUUACAUGCCCGCACUGGGACUGCUCAGAAAUAGAGAAAAUUCCGUAAAAAGAAGAAAUUGGAAUUUUCACCGCAGAGGUUUCCACCGUGGAAAUUUUGAGCAGAAUUUUUCCACCAGAUUCUGUUUGGAAAUUCUGCCAUGUGAAUAUAGUCUAAGAAGAGCAUUGUGCCAUUCCUCUGUUAAACUUCCUGGAAAUUAAUAAAUUAAUGAGA